GACGAACGCUGGCGGCGUGCUUAACACAUGCAAGUCGAACGGACAGGCCCUGCUUUUGUGGGGUGCUCGAGUGGCGAACGGGUGAGUAACACGUGAGUAACCUGCCCUUGACUUUGGGAUAACUUCAGGAAACUGGGGCUAAUACCGGAUAGGAGCUCCUGCUGCAUGGUGGGGGUUGGAAAGUUUCGGCGGUUGGGGAUGGACUCGCGGCUUAUCAGCUUGUUGGUGGGGUAGUGGCUUUCCAAGGCUUUGACGGGUAGCCGGCCUGAGAGGGUGACCGGCCACAUUGGGACUGAGAUACGGCCCAGACUCCUACGGGAGGCAGCAGUGGGGAAUAUUGCACAAUGGGCGGAAGCCUGAUGCAGCAACGCCGCGUGCGGGAUGACGGCCUUCGGGUUGUAAACCGCUUUCGCCUGUGACGAAGCGUGAGUGACGGUAAUGGGUAAAGAAGCACCGGCUAACUACGUG
RNAcentral lists this ribosomal RNA (468 nucleotides) under uncultured bacterium. RNAcentral's name for it is "partial 16S ribosomal RNA". It matches the Rfam family "Bacterial small subunit ribosomal RNA", at positions 28 to 507 of the family's 1533-position model. The record is from RNAcentral.